RNAcentral lists this ribosomal RNA (253 nucleotides) under uncultured bacterium. RNAcentral describes it as "partial 16S ribosomal RNA". It matches the Rfam family "Bacterial small subunit ribosomal RNA", at positions 524 to 776 of the family's 1533-position model. The record is from RNAcentral.
GACAGAGGGUGCAAACGUUGUUCGGAAUUACUGGGCGUAAAGCGCACGUAGGCGGCUUUCUAAGUCAGGGGUGAAAUCCUGGAGCUCAACUCCAGAACUGCCUUUGAUACUGGAGAGCUUGAGUCCGGAAGAGGUGAGUGGAACUCCGAGUGUAGAGGUGAAAUUCGUAGAUAUUCGGAAGAACACCAGUGGCGAAGGCGGCUCACUGGUCCGGUACUGACGCUGAUGUGCGAAAGCGUGGGGAGCAAACAGG